RNAcentral lists this unclassified non-coding RNA (212 nucleotides) under Icmadophila ericetorum (peppermint drop lichen). RNAcentral describes it as "partial contains 5.8S ribosomal RNA, internal transcribed spacer 2, and large subunit ribosomal RNA". Lineage: Eukaryota; Fungi; Ascomycota; Lecanoromycetes; Pertusariales; Icmadophilaceae. The record is from RNAcentral.
CGCACAUUGCACCUUUUGGUAUUCCGAAAGGUAUGCCUAUUCGAGCGUCAUUUCACCUAUCAAACUUCAGUUUGGUUUUGAGUCAAAUCUAUUCUUAGAUUGACUUCAAAGAGAAUUAGUUUUCCAGUACAAUGAUCUGUACAAAGAAAAUUAUUCAAAACAAAUUUUUUAUGGCUGACCUCGAAUUAGGUAGGAUUACCCGCUGAACUUAA